RNAcentral lists this ribosomal RNA (470 nucleotides) under uncultured bacterium. RNAcentral's name for it is "bacterial SSU rRNA". It matches the Rfam family "Bacterial small subunit ribosomal RNA", at positions 328 to 794 of the family's 1533-position model. The record is from RNAcentral.
UUGCCAGACUCCUACGGGAGGCAGCAGUGAGGAAUAUCGGUCAAUGGGCGCGAGCCUGAACCAGCCAAGUCGCGUGAGGGAGGACGGCCCUACGGGUUGUAAACCUCUUUUGCCGGGGAGCAACGGGCGUCACGUGUGGCGCCACUGAGAGUACCCGGAGAAAAAGCAUCGGCUAACUCCGUGCCAGCAGCCGCGGUAAUACGUAGGUGGCAAGCGUUAUCCGGAUUUACUGGGUGUAAAGGGCGUGUAGGCGGGUCUGCAAGUCAGAUGUGAAAUCCCAUGGCUCAACCAUGGAACUGCAUUUGAAACUGUAGAUCUUGAGUGAUGGAGAGGCAGGCGGAAUUCCGUGUGUAGCGGUGAAAUGCGUAGAUAUACGGAGGAACACCAGUGGCGAAGGCGGCCUGCUGGACAUUAACUGACGCUGAGGCGCGAAAGCGUGGGGAGCAAACAGGAUUAGAUACCCCGGUAUC